CAGUAGCCACGGUAAUACGUAGGGUGCGAGCGUUAAUCGGAAUUACUGGGCGUAAAGCGUGCGCAGGCGGCUUUGCAAGACAGAUGUGAAAUCCCCGGGCUCAACCUGGGAACUGCAUUUGUGACUGCAAGGCUAGAGUACGGUAGAGGGGGAUGGAAUUCCGCGUGUAGCAGUGAAAUGCGUAGAUAUGCGGAGGAACACCAAUGGCGAAGGCAAUCCCCUGGACCUGUACUGACGCUCAUGCACGAAAGCGUGGGGAGCAAAUGGGAUUAGAUACCCCAGUAGUCCCUGUCUCUUAUAC
This 301-nucleotide ribosomal RNA is filed under the name uncultured bacterium. Its description in RNAcentral is "partial 16S ribosomal RNA". It matches the Rfam family "Bacterial small subunit ribosomal RNA", at positions 509 to 807 of the family's 1533-position model. The record is from RNAcentral.